GAUCGGCAGCUACACAUGCAAGUCGAGGGGUAUAAGUCUUCGGAUUUAGAGACCGGCGCACGGGUGCGUAACGCGUAUGCAAUCUGCCUUUCACAGAGGGAUAGCCCAGAGAAAUUUGGAUUAAUACCUCAUAGUAUUACGACUCGGCAUCGAGAUGUAAUUAAAGUCACAACGGUGAAAGAUGAGCAUGCGUCCCAUUAGCUGGUUGGUAAGGUAACGGCUUACCAAGGCGACGAUGGGUAGGGGUCCUGAGAGGGAGAUCCCCCACACUGGUACUGAGACACGGACCAGACUCCUACGGGAGGCAGCAGUGAGGAAUAUUGGUCAAUGGGCGCAAGCCUGAACCAGCCAUGCCGCGUGCAGGAUGACGGUCCUAUGGAUUGUAAACUGCUUUUGUACGAGAAGAAACACUGCUUCGUGAAGCAGCUUGACGGUAUCGUAAGAAUAAGGAUCGGCUAACUCCGUGCCAGCAGCCGCGGUAAUACGGAGGAUCCAAGCGUUAUCCGGAAUCAUUGGGUUUAAAGGGUCCGUAGGCGGUCAUGUAAGUCAGUGGUGAAAGCCCAUCGCUCAACGGUGGAACGGCCAUUGAUACUGCUUGACUUGAAUUAUUAGGAAGUAACUAGAAUAUGUAGUGUAGCGGUGAAAUGCUUAGAUAUUACAUGGAAUACCAAUUGCGAAGGCAGGUUACUACUAAUGGAUUGACGCUGAUGGACGAAAGCGUGGGGAGCGAACAGGAUUAGAUACCCUGGUAGUCCACGCCGUAAACGAUGGAUACUAGCUGUUGGGGAGCAAUCUCAGUGGCUAAGCGAAAGUGAUAAGUAUCCCACCUGGGGAGUACGAACGCAAGUUUGAAACUCAAAGGAAUUGACGGGGGCCCGCACAAGCGGUGGAGCAUGUGGGUUUAAUUCGAUGAUACGCGAGGAAACCUUUACCAAGGGCUUAAAUGCAGACUGACCCGAUUUU
Molecule: ribosomal RNA, 963 nt
Filed under: Flavobacterium sp.
Lineage: Bacteria; Pseudomonadati; Bacteroidota; Flavobacteriia; Flavobacteriales; Flavobacteriaceae
Description: bacterial SSU rRNA
Rfam family: Bacterial small subunit ribosomal RNA
Source: RNAcentral